This 68-nucleotide transfer RNA is filed under the name Phalops ardea. RNAcentral's name for it is "tRNA-Leu". Lineage: Eukaryota; Metazoa; Arthropoda; Insecta; Coleoptera; Scarabaeidae. The record is from RNAcentral.
AUUACUUUGGCAGAAUAGUGUUUUAAAUUUAGAAUUUAAUUAUGUAUGAUUAUUUCAUACAAGUAAUA